RNAcentral lists this ribosomal RNA (253 nucleotides) under uncultured bacterium. RNAcentral describes it as "partial 16S ribosomal RNA". It matches the Rfam family "Bacterial small subunit ribosomal RNA", at positions 524 to 776 of the family's 1533-position model. The record is from RNAcentral.
UACAGAGGUCCCGAGCGUUGUUCGGAUUCACUGGGCGUAAAGGGUGCGUAGGUGGCUUGAAAAGUUUGAUGUGAAAGCUCAGGGCUUAACCCUGAAAUGGCAUUGAAUACUGUCGAGCUGGAGGUUUGGAGGGGGGACUGGGAUUCUUGGUGUAGCAGUGAAAUGCGUAGAUAUCAAGAGGAACACCAGUGGCGAAGGCGAGUCCCUGGACAACACCUGACACUGAGGCACGAAAGCUAGGGGAGCAAACAGG